This 433-nucleotide ribosomal RNA is filed under the name uncultured bacterium. Its description in RNAcentral is "partial 16S ribosomal RNA". It matches the Rfam family "Bacterial small subunit ribosomal RNA", at positions 29 to 507 of the family's 1533-position model. The record is from RNAcentral.
AACGAACGCUGGCGGCAUGCCUAACACAUGCAAGUCGAACGAGACCUUCGGGUCUAGUGGCGCACGGGUGCGUAACGCGCGGGAACCUGCCCUUAGGUUCGGAAUAACUCCCCGAAAGGGGUGCUAAUACCGGAUAAUGUCUUCGGACCAAAGAUUUAUCGCCUUUGGAUGGGCCCGCGUUGGAUUAGCUAGUUGGUAGGGUAAAAGCCUACCAAGGCGACGAUCCAUAGCUGGUCUGAGAGGAUGAUCAGCCACACUGGGACUGAGACACGGCCCAGACUCCUACGGGAGGCAGCAGUGGGGAAUAUUGGACAAUGGGCGAAAGCCUGAUCCAGCAUUGCCGCGUGAGUGAUGAAGGCCUUAGGGUUGUAAAGCUCUUUUACCCGGGAUGAUAAUGACAGUACCGGGAGAAUAAGCUCCGGCUAACUCCGUG